UCCCGUCCCGAAACUAUCGAAACGCAUAGGUGAAAUGACCCUUUUACCCCUAGUUUGUUUUGUUAUGUUUUUGGUUACUUGGUGUGGUGUUGGCAGGUGCUGGGCCACCCACACACACCCUCAUUGUCCCUAUCCCUCUCUCAGUCUCUUUCCCUGUCUCUCUCUCUCUCCCAAGUCCUCUAUCCUUCUUCUUCUUCCUUCAAACUCGUACGGACACACACACAACUACACUAUUUCACCACAGAUCGAAGGAACUAAGGGCACAGUUGAGAUCGUGAGGUCGUGGGGAGCAAGAUCAUACAAAUAUCAGCUUGUAGAUGUGUUGGUGAGGUCCUAAGGAGCUUGGGAGUGCAUCGUUGGACGGAAUUGGACGUCGGAUUAGCCUGGUUCGAGUUUGACCGGUUUUGGUAAUUGGUGACAGGUGACACGUAUCCCGAGGACGAGCGGGCUCACGCGAGGCAGGGGGGCUACGACCCUUCCACAUACCAGUUCUAGUAGCUUAGCGGGUUCGGUGGUUUUCCCAGAGGGCGUCUCGGCAUUCCUGACAGACACUCACCAGUGUAGGGUCACCUUCGGGUGUACUACCGUCGUAUCUUUUCUUUGGAUUGCUGUAGUCUUUAUGCUCUGAAUUCAGUGUCUUACUUACGCUAGCACUUAUAUUAUCACAUUAUAUAUGCUAGUUUUUAAAUUAUUCGUACUUUUAUAUUA
Molecule: long non-coding RNA, 708 nt
Organism: Pyrus x bretschneideri (Chinese white pear)
Lineage: Eukaryota; Viridiplantae; Streptophyta; Magnoliopsida; Rosales; Rosaceae
Exons: 4
Source: RefSeq, a predicted model, not a curated record